ACAAUGAAGGGCUAAUCCUUCCUCUCCUAACUC
Molecule: transfer RNA, 33 nt
Filed under: Crocodylus niloticus (Nile crocodile)
Lineage: Eukaryota; Metazoa; Chordata; Crocodylia; Crocodylidae
Description: partial tRNA-Met
Source: RNAcentral